CCCUUAGAUGUCCGGGGCUGCACGCGCGCUACACUGAAGGAAUCAGCGUGCUAAAACCAUUGUCGAAAGGCAUUGGUAAACCCAUUAAAAUCCUACGUGAUUGGGAUCGGGAAUUGCAAUUAUUUCCCUUGAACGAGGAAUUCCCAGUAAGUGUGGGUCAUAAGCUCGCGUUGAUUACGUCCCUGCCCUUUGUACACACCGCCCGUCGCUGCCCGGGACUGAGCCGUUUCGAGAAAAGCGGGGACUGCUGCUGUCGGGGCCUUCGGGCCUUGGCUUCGGUGGAAACCGCUUUAAUCGCAGUGGCUUGAACCGGGCAAAAGUCGUAACA
Molecule: ribosomal RNA, 328 nt
Filed under: uncultured eukaryote
Lineage: Eukaryota
Description: partial 18S ribosomal RNA
Rfam family: Eukaryotic small subunit ribosomal RNA
Source: RNAcentral